UGAAACUUUAAAAUAGGUGAGUUAUAUGCAGAUUUCAGACUAUACUUCUAGCAAUAUAUGUGACAUUCCAAUGCUCAAGGAGCAAUCUUAGUAAAUCAUUAACAAACUAGAAAAGAAUCAUGUACCAUUGGGUGAUAGUCCUCCAUUGCUCCCUAUUUGCUAAGGCAGCCAUGAAUAAACAAAUUCAUCAAUAUAUAAACAAGAGGGUGCUGCUUAGCACUGGCUAGAGGAAAUAAUUUGUAACAUUUAUUUUUUCAACCCAUACAUCAAAGGCAAAGCUCAUCGCUUCACUAAAAGAGAGACCAGCCAAAAUUGAUAUUGUGUAGAACAUUUUUAUGAUAAAUGGCACACAAUAAGAAUUUCCCAUGCUGACCUGAGCUCAAAUUUGCAUAGGUAUCCAUUUUACAUGAAGGUGUAGCAUAUAAGAGAAGGAAGUUUAGAAAUAGGAGGGAAGUGAAUGCUUUGGAGAGAAAAGGUGUUUGGUAGUUAUGAAAUUGUUAGGGCUGUUGUAGAGUUGUUGGUGCUGUUAAGAGUCAGUUAUAGAACUGUAGAGAAAUCCACAGCUCUGGACAAAUAGCUGACUCAACAUUGUAGUUUCUCAUUCUGAAUCUAAUAAAGAAAUUGAUCUUCUUCUUUUCUCUAAAUCCUCUAUUCUCUACUCUUUCUCUUUCUCCUCCCUAAUUCUCUCUUUCUUCUUCUGUUGAGAGGUGGAAAUCCCUGCAUUAAGGUUUCUAUCAUGGUUUCAAAUAAUGGUCGUUGCGUUUUAUUUAUAGGUUUUGAAGGGGGCUGUUACGCAUGAGGCCAUUAUUUAUAGGCAAAUAGGCACUUGCAGGCAUAACGGUCAUUAUGGCCAUUACAUAACAGUAACAGCUGUUACCGACUGUUAAAUAAUGGUAAUGGCCAUUACUUUGACUAUUCCUCUACCAUUUUUUCACAUGUAUAUAUAGUUUUG
Molecule: unclassified non-coding RNA, 952 nt
Filed under: Hevea brasiliensis (rubber tree)
Lineage: Eukaryota; Viridiplantae; Streptophyta; Magnoliopsida; Malpighiales; Euphorbiaceae
Source: RNAcentral